UGACUGCUAUCGGAUUGAUACUAAGCCAUGCGAGUCAUUGUAGUAAUACAAGGCAGACGGCUCAGUAACGCGUAGUCAACCUAACCUAUGGACGGGAAUAACCUCGGGAAACUGAGUAUAAUGCCCGAUAGAACAUUAUGCCUGGAAUGGUUUAUGUUCCAAAUGAUUUAUCGCCGUAGGAUGGGACUGCGGCCUAUCAGUUUGUUGGUGAGGUAAUGGCCCACCAAGGACUAUUACAGGUACGGGCUCUGAGAGGAGUAGCCCGGAGAUGGGUACUGAGACACGGACCCAGGCCCUAUGGGGCGCAGCAGGCGAGAAAACUUUGCAAUGUGCGAAAGCACGACAAGGUUAAUCCGAGUGGUUUCUGCUAAAGGAACCUUUUGUCGGUCCUAGAAACACCGAUAAAUAAGGGGUGGGCAAGUUCUGGUGUCAGCCCGCCGCGGUAAAAACCAGCACCUCAAGUGGUCAGGGAUGAUUAUUGGGCCCUAAGGCAUCCGUAGCCGGCUCUGGUUAGUUUUCGGGUUAAAUCUGUACGCCUCAACGGUACAGGCUGCCCAGGGAAUACUGCCAAAGCUGGGGGAGUGGGAAGAGGGUAGACGGUACCUCCGGU
Molecule: ribosomal RNA, 610 nt
Filed under: uncultured marine archaeon
Lineage: Archaea
Description: bacterial SSU rRNA
Rfam family: Archaeal small subunit ribosomal RNA
Source: RNAcentral